This 1708-nucleotide small RNA is filed under the name Pan troglodytes (chimpanzee). Its description in RNAcentral is "retained intron". The record is from RNAcentral. Lineage: Eukaryota; Metazoa; Chordata; Mammalia; Primates; Hominidae.
CGGCUGCAGCCUCCGCCCCGGGCGCUUGCUCCCCGCGCCGCCGCCGCCGCCGCCGCCGCCGCCGCCGCUGCUGCCGCACCUGCCACCAUGUCGCCGCCGCCGGGUCAUGUCUGACUCUCUCUGGACCGCGCUUUCUAAUUUCUCGAUGCCCUCCUUCCCCGGCGGCAGUAUGUUCCGCCGCACCAAGAGCUGCCGCACCAGUAAUCGGAAAAGCCUCAUCCUGACCAGCACUUCACCCACGCUGCCGAGACCCCACUCCCCGCUGCCAGGUCACCUAGGCAGCAGUCCCCUGGACAGCCCCCGAAACUUCUCCCCCAACACCCCCGCCCACUUCUCGUUUGCCUCCUCCCGAAGUCCUCCUGCUCCUCCCAGGAGCGCCUUCACCAGCUGCCCUACCAGCCCACGGUGGACGAGCUCCACUUCCUUUCCAAACACUUCGGGAGCACCGAGAGCAUCACAGACGAGGAUGGUGGCCGUCGCUCCCCAGCCGUGCGGCCCCGCUCACGGAGUCUCAGCCCCGGGCGCUCCCCCUCCUCCUACGACAACGAGAUCGUGAUGAUGAAUCACGUCUACAAGGAGAGGUUCCCGAAGGCCACUGCGCAGAUGGAGGAGAAGCUGCGCGACUUCACCCGCGCCUACGAACCCGACAGCGUUCUGCCUCUGGCCGAUGGCGUGCUCAGCUUCAUCCACCACCAGAUCAUCGAGCUGGCCCGGGACUGCCUGACCAAGUCCCGUGACGGCCUCAUCACCACGGUCUACUUCUAUGAAUUGCAGGAGAACCUGGAGAAGCUCCUUCAAGACGUGAGUGCACGCGGAGGCCGGGCUGAUAUCAGGCUCAGCACCGCCAAAUUGUGCCCAAUGCACCCCUUUCUUCACCCCACAUACAUUCAGGGAGCUCCUACCACGUUCCAGGCACUGGCGUGGAGCUGAGGACUCAGGGGUGGAAGUGGUCCCUUCCCUAGGUCUGACCGACUGAAGAGGCAGAAUUUCACCUCGCUCAUUUCCCUUAGGUCUUUACUCAAAUGUCACCUUCUCAGGUGGCUUCUUAGGCGGUUCCCAGUCAUUUAAAAUAUUAAACUCGGCCGGGCGCGGUGGCUCAGGCCUGUAAUCCCAGCACUUUGGGAGACCGAGGGGGGCGGAUCCCGAGGUCAAGAGAUCGAGACCAUCCUGGCUAACACGGUGACACCCCGUCUCUACUAAAAAUACAAAAAAAAAAAAAAAAAAAAAAAAAAAAAUUAGCCGGGCGUGGUAGUGGACGCCUGUAGUCCCAGCUACUCGGGAGGCUGAGGCAGGAGAAUGGCGUAAACCCGGAAGGCGGAGCUUGCAAUGAGCCGAGAUUGCGCCGCUGUACUCCAGCCUGGGCGACAGACCGAGACUCCGUCUCAAAACAUAAUAAUAGUAAAUAAAAUAAAAUAAAAUAUUAAACUUAGCCGGGUGCGGUGGCUCAGGGCUGAGGCAAGUGGAUCACCUAAGGUCAGGAGUUCGAGACCAGCCUGGCCAACAUGGCGAAACCCCGUCUCUACUAAAAAUACAAAAAUUAGCUGGGCAUGGUGGUGGGCACCUGUAAUCCCAACUACUUGGGAGGCAGAGGCGGGAGAAUCGCUUGAACCUGGGAGUCGGAGGUUGCAGUGAGCCGAGAUCACACCAUUGCUCUCCAGUCUGAGCAACAAGAGUGAAACUCUGUCUCAAAAAUAAAUAAAUAAAUGAA